RNAcentral lists this ribosomal RNA (279 nucleotides) under uncultured bacterium. RNAcentral's name for it is "partial 16S ribosomal RNA". It matches the Rfam family "Bacterial small subunit ribosomal RNA", at positions 506 to 784 of the family's 1533-position model. The record is from RNAcentral.
UGCCAGCCGCCGCGGUAAUACGUAGGCAGCAAGCGUUGUUCGGAGUUACUGGGCGUAAAGCGUGUGUAGGCGGGCUUGCAAGUUCGGUGUGAAAUCUCCCGGCUUAACCGGGAGCCUGCGCCGAAAACUGCAAGUCUUGAGUGCAGGAGAGGAGAGCGGAAUUCCUGGUGUAGCGGUGAAAUGCGUAGAUAUCAGGAGGAACACCUGCGGCGAAGGCGGCUCUCUGGACUGUGACUGACGCUGAGACACGAAAGCGUGGGGAGCAAACAGGAUUAGAUA